UAAUUCCUAACACUCAAUGCUAUUGUCAAUCUCCGGCAACGGUGCCAAAAUAUAAUUACUGUUUUAUUUAUUCUGUAAAUUUCUUUUAGAAUAAACAUGUAGAGGGAGAUUCGAACGUAGGGAAAGACUAAGCGCAUGAAUUCUACUUAUUAGGAUUACACUAUUAAUCAUAUUCCAAACCAUUGAAAAUACCAAAAAACACCACAAUAUUUUCCACUUCCUAACAGUACUCUAUCAUCACUGAU
RNAcentral lists this long non-coding RNA (245 nucleotides) under Physcomitrium patens. RNAcentral describes it as "long non-coding RNA (PPAT_LNC007519)". The record is from RNAcentral. Lineage: Eukaryota; Viridiplantae; Streptophyta; Bryopsida; Funariales; Funariaceae.